This 442-nucleotide ribosomal RNA is filed under the name uncultured bacterium. RNAcentral describes it as "partial 16S ribosomal RNA". It matches the Rfam family "Bacterial small subunit ribosomal RNA", at positions 338 to 795 of the family's 1533-position model. The record is from RNAcentral.
CCUACGGGAGGCAGCAGUGGGGAAUAUUGGGCAAUGGGCGCAAGCCUGACCCAGCAACGCCGCGUGAAGGAAGAAGGCUUUCGGGUUGUAAACUUCUUUUAAGAGGGAAGAGCAGAAGACGGUACCUCUUGAAUAAGCCACGGCUAACUACGUGCCAGAAGCCGCGGUAAUACGGAGGUGGCAAGCGUUGUCCGGCGUUACUGGGUGUAAAGGGCGGGCAGCCGGGAAGACAAGGCAGAUGUGAAAUCCCGGGGCUCAACCGCGGAACUGCAUUUGAAACUGUUUUUCUUGAGUACCGGAGAGGUCAUCGGAAUUCCUUGUGUAGCGGUGAAAUGCGUAGAUAUAAGGAAGAACACCAGUGGCGAAGGCGGAUGACUGGACGGCAACUGACGGUGAGGCGCGAAAGCGUGGGGAGCAAACAGGAUUAGAUACCCUUGUAGUC